Molecule: long non-coding RNA, 233 nt
Organism: Bradysia coprophila
Lineage: Eukaryota; Metazoa; Arthropoda; Insecta; Diptera; Sciaridae
Source: RefSeq, a predicted model, not a curated record
AGUUAAUUAGACCAAUUUUUGAAUAAAUUAGUGGAAAUUAAAUCGACGCAAUCAAUAAAUUACUUUGUGAAUGUAUCGACAGAUACAUUCGUCACUAUUUUUUUUUCUUUAUUAAAAUUCUAUAUAAAUAAGUACAGUGAUUCAAGACACAUUUUUUUUUGUUGUAGAGCCAAUACAAGUCGUAAAAAAUAAUUAUCGGUUGAUGUUAGUUCAAAAGUUAAAGUGCUCCAAAU